AGAGUUUGUUCCUGGCUCAGGACGAACGCUGGCGGCGUGCCUAACACUUGCAAGUCGAACGGAACUUCUUUAAAGGAUUUCUUCGGAAUGAAUUUGAUUAAGUUUAGUGGCGGACGGGUGAGUAACGCGUGAGUAACCUGCCUCUAAGAGGGGAAUAACAUUCUGAAAAGAAUGCUAAUACCGCAUAAUAUAUAUUUAUCGCAUGGUAGAUAUAUCAAAGAUUUAUCGCUUAGAGAUGGACUCGCGUCCGAUUAGUUAGUUGGUGAGGUAACGGCUCACCAAGACCGCGAUCGGUAGCCGGACUGAGAGGUUGAACAGCCACAUUGGGACUGAGACACGGCCCAGACUCCUACGGGAGGCAGCAGUGGGGGAUAUUGCGCAAUGGGGGAAACCCUGACGCAGCAACGCCGCGUGAAGGAUGAAGGUCUUCGGAUUGUAAACUUCUUUUAUUAAGGACGAAGAAAGUGACGGUACUUAAUGAAUAAGCUCCGGCUAACUACGUGCCAGCAGCCGCGGUAAUACGUAGGGAGCAAGCGUUGUCCGGAUUUACUGGGUGUAAAGGGUGCGUAGGCGGCUUUGCAAGUCAGAUGUGAAAUCUAUGGGCUCAACCCAUAGCCUGCAUUUGAAACUGCAGAGCUUGAGUGAAGUAGAGGCAGGCGGAAUUCCCCGUGUAGCGGUGAAAUGCGUAGAGAUGGGGAGGAACACCAGUGGCGAAGGCGGCCUGCUGGGCUUUAACUGACGCUGAGGCACGAAAGCGUGGGUAGCAAACAGGAUUAGAUACCCUGGUAGUCCACGCUGUAAACGAUGAU
This 809-nucleotide ribosomal RNA is filed under the name uncultured bacterium. RNAcentral's name for it is "bacterial SSU rRNA". It matches the Rfam family "Bacterial small subunit ribosomal RNA", at positions 8 to 813 of the family's 1533-position model. The record is from RNAcentral.